Molecule: ribosomal RNA, 302 nt
Filed under: uncultured bacterium
Lineage: Bacteria
Description: partial 16S ribosomal RNA
Rfam family: Bacterial small subunit ribosomal RNA
Source: RNAcentral
GCAGUAGCCGCGGUAAUACGUAGGUGGCAAGCGUUGUCCGGAAUUAUUGGGCGUAAAGGGCUCGCAGGCGGUUUCUUAAGUCUGAUGUGAAAGCCCCCGGCUCAACCGGGGAGGGUCAUUGGAAACUGGGAAACUUGAGUGCAGAAGAGGAGAGUGAAAUUCCACGUGUAGCGGUGAAAUGCGUAGAGAUGUGGAGGAACACCAGUGGCGAAGGCGACUCUCUGGUCUGUAACUGACGCUGAGGAGCGAAAGCGUGGGGAGCGAACAGGAUUAGAUACCCCCGUAGUCCCUGUCUCUAUACC